GAACAGUCUUCCUUUAAUAUCAAUUUCCAGAAGAGAAAUGAUCUGAUGGGCGGAUGAAAUGAUUGCAGGAUGGAUGCUGCUGCAUUCCUGCAUUUCUUGAGGAAGCUCCCUGCUUUGCCGUGCCUCCUGUUCUGUCUGUGGCUGGUGCAAUGUUACCAGCACACAGAAAGCUCAGGACACACUGUGAUAGACAAGACCUGCCAGCUGAUUCAUAACUGCAUUCUGCCUUGCUUCUCCUCCCUGUCAAGAUGAUCCAUCAAACGGUGUCCAUCAAUUAAAAUUUCCACUCAAAAGAGGAAGGUGUGUGAGGGAGCACCCAUCCCUUUCUUCACUCAUACCUGGGCACCUAGAACUCAGGAUAGAAAUCUUUUAAGAAAAAAAAAUAAAAAAGAAAAAACCAAAAAAGG
Long non-coding RNA from Passer montanus (Eurasian tree sparrow), 407 nucleotides. RefSeq lists it as uncharacterized. The transcript has 3 exons. The record is from RefSeq and is a predicted model, not a curated record. NCBI's taxonomy places the organism in Eukaryota, Metazoa, Chordata, Aves, Passeriformes, Passeridae.